Molecule: RNA transcript, 2724 nt
Organism: Physeter macrocephalus (sperm whale)
Lineage: Eukaryota; Metazoa; Chordata; Mammalia; Artiodactyla; Physeteridae
Gene name: peroxisomal membrane protein PEX14-like
Exons: 5
Source: RefSeq, a predicted model, not a curated record
UGGAGGGGGCGCUUGGCGGGUGGCUGGGAGCCCGGUGGGGACCCUAAGCCUCGGAAGCCGGGGGCUCCGACCUCUUGCCCUCUCCGGGGCCCCGCCCCUCCCCAGGUCCUCGCCGCCCGGCCUCUCCCCGCGUGACCCCUCCUUGACCACAUUCCCGAGCAGGGGCCCGGGGGCGCCCGAGGGCCCCCACUUCCCGCAUGCCGAUCCCUCGGGUCCCACUUCUGCUUGGCCAGGCAUUGCACAUAGAGGAGUUGUGCGUUCCCCAGACCAGCUUCCGUUAGCAGAGUGAAUGAUUCAGAGAGAUGUCCAGAUUGUAAAACGUCACAGUUUCCUGCUUCUUGACACGUUGAGAUUUUUCAUUAGGUGCUGGGUGCUGUGAAUUUUACAUCAUUGAGGGUCUGGAUUGCGAUCUUACUUUAAAAAGUGUUGAGUUUUGUUCUGCCAAGCUCUACUCCAGGAAGUGAAAAUGUGGCGCCUCGAGAGCCGCUGUUUUUAAUCUUCUGUGAUUUGGACACCAUUUAACUAAGCUUGUAUUCGAAAUAAAUAGUAAGUAAUGUGAAUAAAUCUUUGCUAUGUGUAAUAUAUGUGGAAUUUGUCAUUUCUUUUUUGGCAGCAGCGAUUUCUUCUCUCUUUCCCUCUCUCCUUCUCCUUCUUUGUUGGUUUCCUCCUUUUUUUGAUUGGGUGAGAUUGGAGAGCUGAGCUCCCGAAUGGUUGGUUCUGGUCCUUGACCCUUGCCCAUUUCCCUGGCCUAGGUAUCAUAGGCUGCCUGCUGGAGUCAACUGGAAAUUAUAAAAUGAUGCAGCUUGGAGGGUCCAGAAGGCCAUCUAUUUAAGCCCUUAUUUUACAGAAAUGAAGGACUCUGAGGCACAGAGUGGGGGCGUGAGGGGCCGGGUUUGAGGACAUAGCGUCAGGGUUGGACUCGGUGUGCAGGUUUCUUGAGACCUGGCCCGCUUUCUGCCCUGCCACUCUGCCACGUCCUGUUCCCUGCCAACUUUGAACAUUUAUUUGUUUGGCUGCGCCAGGUCUUAGUUGUGGCACGCAGGGUCUUUAGUUGUGGCAUGCGAACUCUUAGUUGCAGCAUGCACGUGGGAUCUAGUUCCCCGACCAGGGAUCAAACCCAGGCCGCCUGCAUUGGGAGUUUGGAGUCUUAACCACUGGACCACCAGGGAAGUCCCUGUUUCCUACAAACUUUGAGCAAAAUGUGUGUGAAUGAGGAAAUAGAGUGUUUGUGUGAGGUAAAAUCAUGGAGGAAAAUUCUCUGCUGGCUGUGGGCAGGUUUAGGAUUAAAGUACAUAAACCAGGGCUUCCCUGGUGGCACAGUGUUAAGAAUCCGCCUGCCAAUACAAGGGACACGGGUUCGAGCCCUGGUGCGGCAAGAUCCCACAUGCCGCGGAGCAACUAAGCCCGUGCGCCACAACUACUGAGCCUGCGCUCUAGAGCCCGCGAGCCACAACUACUGAGCCUGCACUCUAGAGCCCGCGAGCCACAACUACUGAGCCCACACACCACAGCUAGUGAAGUCCGCGUGCCUAGAGCCCACACUCCGCAAUGAGAAGCCCACACACCGCAACCAAGAGUAGCCCCCGCUCGCCGCAACGAGAGAAAGUCCGCGCACAGCAACAAAGACCCAAUGCGGCCAAAAAUAAAUAAAUUUAUUUUUAAAAAAAAGUACAGGGCUUCCCUGGUGGCGCAGUGGUUGAGGGUCCGCCUGCCAAUGCAGGGGACACAGGUUCGUGCCCCGGUCCGGGAAGAUCCCGCAUGCCGCGGAGCGGCUGGGCCCGUGGGCCAUGGCCGCUGAGCCUGCGUGUCUGGAGCCUGUGCUCCGCAACGGGAGAGGCCACAGCAGUGAGAGGCCCGCGUGCCACAAAAAAAAAAAAAAAAAAAAAAAGUACAUAAACCAAAAAAGGCUUCUGUUUGUUGCAGUGUUUGGCUGUGUUUGCACUCAAAGCUGAUAUUGAUAUUGUAGGAGAAGCUUUAAUCCUUUCAUUCAAAUUUACAAGAAAUGCUGUUUCCUUUUAGUUUAAAAAAAAAAAAAAGUCCAAGAGAGCAUUUGAUUUGAGUAACCAAAAGUCUAGAAAAUGUAUCCGGGAGUCCUCAUCAAUUUGGGGCAUAAUGAAAUAUAAAAAAUACUCAAUAAAAGCUCCUUUAUUACUUUAACUGUUUAAAUGUGGAGUUUUUAGCCAUCAGGUUAAUGUUUUGGUAUCAUUUUUUUAUUUGAUUGUGAGCACUUUUCCAGGUAGCUCUGCCACUAGAGCGCUAAUCAGAUUCCCACAGAUGAAUGGUGCUAGCUGCAGCCUGACGUCACCGCAUUUUUGCUUCGACAUUAUUUUAUUUGGUUUUCCUGUAAAAGUUAAUAACUCUGUGUCCAUGUGUUUAAACAGGCAAGAAGAGAGAGAGAAAGGACAGUGAACAGAAAACCAUGAGUGAUGUCUCAGGAAGCUUUUGCCAAAUUGAGGAGAUGUAGGGAUUUUUGUGAUCUCAGGGUCUUUCACCCUAGCACAAUUAGGGUGUGGAGAAUGAAGAAGAUUGCAAAGCAAGAUGGUGAUUCUUAAUCCUUCCGAUAACGAAAAGUGAACCUCUCUCUGUUUCCCAGACGGAGCUGGAAGGAAUUAGAAAUGAGUUCCCAUUGAUUUAGAGGAGGAAGAGGGUGCUCAAUAGGAUGGAUUUGCUUAAUGGUGGAAACUGUUUAAGUUUUGGGUUAAUUGUAAGUAAAAUACAUGCUCA